CUGAGCUGCCUGUGGGUGACUCAGCAGUGCCAGCGCCUGCCCCAGACUGAUAAACCGCAGGGAGCAACCUCCUGAAGCUGCUGCUCACAUUCUCUCCUUUCAUCUCACUGAAGCCUUACAGCCAAAAAUGUUCUGAAGGGGUCUGAAGCUCAGAGAACUGCAGUGACAGCCAAAGAUCACACAGAAUCGGUUCCCGCGCGCAGCUACCAGGGGUGAGGAGCGGAUGAGCGAUGGAAGACAGGUGGCAGAAAGGAGUAGAAACGAAAUAAGGGUGCUGAUGAAAGAUGUGGCCGGUAGAUGGCAGCAGUGUCCGUGAAAUGAGCCUCGCCUCUGCACGCUUCACCUAAAUUUCUCCCAGGC
Molecule: long non-coding RNA, 360 nt
Organism: Lemur catta (Ring-tailed lemur)
Lineage: Eukaryota; Metazoa; Chordata; Mammalia; Primates; Lemuridae
Exons: 3
Source: RefSeq, a predicted model, not a curated record